This 424-nucleotide ribosomal RNA is filed under the name uncultured bacterium. RNAcentral's name for it is "bacterial SSU rRNA". It matches the Rfam family "Bacterial small subunit ribosomal RNA", at positions 358 to 773 of the family's 1533-position model. The record is from RNAcentral.
GGAAUUGUUCGCAAUGGGCGCAAGCCUGACGACGCAACGCCGCGUGGAGGAUGAAGAUUUUCGGAUCGUAAACUCCUGUCGAGUGGGAAGAACAGCUCCUGGAUAAAUAUUCCGGGAGCCUGACGGUACCACUAAAGGAAGCCCCGGCUAACUCUGUGCCAGCAGCCGCGGUAAUACAGAGGGGGCAAGCGUUGUUCGGAAUUACUGGGCGUAAAGGGCGCGUAGGCGGCCUGUUAAGUCGAACGUGAAAUCCCCGGGCUCAACCCGGGAACUGCGUCCGAUACUGGCAGGCUUGAAUCCGGGAGAGGGAUGUGGAAUUCCAGGUGUAGCGGUGAAAUGCGUAGAUAUCUGGAGGAACACCGGUGGCGAAGGCGGCAUCCUGGACCGGUAUUGACGCUGAGGCGCGAAAGCCAGGGGAGCAAAC